Non-coding RNA from Podarcis lilfordi (Lilford's wall lizard), 92 nucleotides. NCBI's taxonomy places the organism in Eukaryota, Metazoa, Chordata, Lepidosauria, Squamata, Lacertidae. The record is from the annotation of a GenBank genome assembly.
UCCAGCUGUAUUGGGACUACAGUUCCCAUCAUCCCUGACCACUGGUCCUGUUACCUAGGAAGGAUGGGAGUUGUGGUCCCAAAACAGCUGGA